This is a long non-coding RNA of Pogoniulus pusillus (Red-fronted tinkerbird), 375 nucleotides long. RefSeq lists it as uncharacterized. The record is from RefSeq and is a predicted model, not a curated record. Lineage: Eukaryota; Metazoa; Chordata; Aves; Piciformes; Lybiidae. The transcript is spliced from 3 exons.
UGAUACCAUUUGUGAAAAAGAGACCCUUCCUGGCAAGCAAAGAAGCAGCAGUCUACAAGUAGGAAAUGCAGGGAACGCAGAAGAGUCGUUUGUAAGCACUUGGGCACCCUGAGCUGAAGACAGAGGCUUGAGGCACACUUCAUUCCGGGCGUAGCUGGUUCCAGCUCCAGGAAUGAACAGACUCCCAUAUGCCUCUCACUUGGGAACUGGCAUUAUCCCAGCCAAGACAGGAGAAAAAAACAAUGGUUUCAGUUGGCCAAAGGGUCAAGAGGCUGAGGCUAAAUGCUGCAUCACUCUGGAGGGAUGCAGGGAGCAGCAGCCUCUUGAAGAACCCUUUGUGAAUAAAAAGUGUCCAGGUUUUCCUGCUUUAAAAAA